RNAcentral lists this transfer RNA (76 nucleotides) under Planctomycetota bacterium. RNAcentral describes it as "tRNA-His". It matches the Rfam family "tRNA". Rfam says of the family: Transfer RNA (tRNA) molecules are approximately 80 nucleotides in length. Their secondary structure includes four short double-helical elements and three loops (D, anti-codon, and T loops). The record is from RNAcentral. Lineage: Bacteria; Pseudomonadati; Planctomycetota.
UGCCGGGGUAGCUCAGUUGGUUAGAGCGUCUGACUGUGGAUCAGAAGGGCGAGGGUUCGAGUCCCUCCCCCGGUAG